AGUAAGAUGAGGUCUAGCCUACAAAGCAAACUAAAGAAGCUGUCCAUCUUAUCAGUGAUCUGCUUUUAUUUACAUUUUUUUAAGAGACAGAGUCUUGCUCUGUUGCCCAAGCUGGAAUGCAGUGGCAUGAUCAUAGCUCACUGCGGCAUCUAACUCCUGGGCUCAAAUAAUCCUUCUGCUUCAGCCUCUUGAGUAGCUAGGAUGACAGACGUUUGCCACCAUGUCUAGCUAAUUUUUUUUAAUGUUUUGUAGAGACAGGGUCUCACUAUGUGGUCCAGGCUGGUUGCAAACUCUUGGCCUGAAGUGAUCCUCCCACCUCAGCCUCUCAAUGCGCUAGAAUUAUAGGUGUGAACCACCAGGUGUGGCCCUGCUCUUGUUUUUACCUGGAAUCUUGCAACAUCAACAUCUAUACUUAAUUGAAAUGAAAGUGAAGCAAAUCAGGCUGGGCACAGUGGCUCACGCCUGUAAUCCCAGCACUUUGGGAGGCCGAGGUGGGCAGAUCACUUGAGGUCAGGAGUUCAAGACUAGCCUGGCUAACAUGAUGAAACCCCCAUCUCUACUAAAAAUACAAAAAUUAGCCAAGCAUGUUGGCACACACCUGUAAUUCCAGCUACUCAGAAGGCACAGGCAGGAGCGUCUCUUGAACCCGGGAGGCAGAGGUUGCUGUGAGCCGAGAUCGGGCCACUGCACUCCAGCCUGGGUGACAGAGCGAGACUCCAUCUAAAAAAAAAAAAAAAAAAAGAAAGAAAGUGAAGCAAAUCAACAAAUGUGCCUUUGGCCAGGCUUUUAAGCUGAUUUUAAGGCCACCACCUCCAUUCUGGGAAGCCCGUUGAACUUUAGCUUGUACUAAGGAGAAAGACCUGUCCCUGAAGGAGAUCCAGAAGAAACUGGAGGCUGCAGAGGAAAGAAGGAAGUCUGAGGAGGUCCAGGUGCUGAAGCCAUUGGCAGAGAGGAGGGAAUACAAGCAAGAAGUCUUUGAGAAGGCUUUGGAAAACGACACCUUCAGCAGAAUCGUGGAGGAAAAGCUGAUCCUGAAAGUGGAAAAAAUUAAGGAAAAUGAGGAGGCUAAUCUAGCUGCUACUAUGUCUGAAGGAAAAGGAGGCACGCCGCGGAGGUGCGCAGGAACAAGGACGCGCAGACUCAACAGUCUGGC
RNAcentral lists this long non-coding RNA (1153 nucleotides) under Homo sapiens (human). RNAcentral's name for it is "non-protein coding lnc-SCAF8-3:1". The record is from RNAcentral. Lineage: Eukaryota; Metazoa; Chordata; Mammalia; Primates; Hominidae.